Molecule: transfer RNA, 73 nt
Filed under: Zootermopsis nevadensis
Lineage: Eukaryota; Metazoa; Arthropoda; Insecta; Blattodea; Termopsidae
Rfam family: tRNA
About the family: Transfer RNA (tRNA) molecules are approximately 80 nucleotides in length. Their secondary structure includes four short double-helical elements and three loops (D, anti-codon, and T loops).
Source: Rfam by way of RNAcentral
GCCACUGUGGUCUAGCGGUUAUAACGCUGGCCUUGUAAUCCUGGGGUCUCGGGUUCGAUUCCCGGCGGUGCCC